UACGUAGGGGGCUAGCGUUGUCCGGAAUCAUUGGGCGUAAAGAGCGUGUAGGCGGCCCGGUAAGUCCGCUGUAAAAGUCAAAGGCUCAACCUUUGAAUGCCAGUGGAUACUGCCGGGCUAGAGUCCGGAAGAGGCGAGUGGAACUCCUGGUGUAGCGGUGAAAUGCGCAGAUAUCAGGAGGAACACCCGUGGCGAAAGCGGCUCUCUGGGACGGUACUGACGCUGAGACGCGAAAGCGUGGGGAGCGAACAGG
Molecule: ribosomal RNA, 253 nt
Filed under: uncultured bacterium
Lineage: Bacteria
Description: partial 16S ribosomal RNA
Rfam family: Bacterial small subunit ribosomal RNA
Source: RNAcentral